AUAUCAGCGUUGACAGGAAUAAGUAGCAGGUCAUCUCCCUGUUUCAGAGAGCCGGUGGUGGUGCGAACCGGUAUAUAGAUGAAUGUGAAUUACCUCCUCGAGCUUCCUUUGUGAAAAUAUCAGUAGCAAAGGACGGUUGAACCGUUAUGUCUUAGAGUGGAAGAGCAAUCUUCAACGAGGGUGGUACCGCGUGCAAAAACCACGUCCCUUUU
This 212-nucleotide non-coding RNA is filed under the name Bacillus sp. (in: firmicutes). RNAcentral's name for it is "Bacillus sp. T-box sequence". It matches the Rfam family "T-box leader". From Rfam's summary of the family: Uncharged tRNA acts as the effector for transcription antitermination of genes in the T-box leader family. The record is from RNAcentral. Lineage: Bacteria; Bacillati; Bacillota; Bacilli; Caryophanales; Bacillaceae.